CAUUGUGAUGGCCCUAAAGAAAAUAAAAUGGAUAUAGGAUACCAAGAGUUAAGCAGAAGUAAGCCAAGAUUCUGACCUAGCUACCCAUGCAAAGCAGCAAUGGACAGCUUCAUCUGCUUAAGGCUCCCUGUUUUUGCUUCUAGAAUUGAAGACUACAUCGUGUUCCUGAGAUUACACAAGAAUGAAGUGAGAAGUUGCAAGACAAGGGUUUGACUAGAGAUGUUUGGUCUUUGGAGAACUGCCGUCUGUCCUUCCUGAAGCCUUCCCUGAUCCUCCAAGAGUUUCCAGUUUACUGAGUACCUGCUUUUGUUCCCUCUUGGGAUCACAUUUCUCCUCCACGCUGUCUCUGCAGUGAAGCUAUUGCUAGUUACACUGUGCAAGCAAGACAUUUGGGACCUCUGGAAACCAAGUAAGUUGUCUGAAGUCAAAGCCCAGAGUUAUAGAUGCAGUGUUCAAAUUCAGGCUCAUCCGAUGCCAUGCCGAGGUGCAGGCUCUGUCCUCUGGGACAGUAGCUGUCCGCCUCCC
Molecule: long non-coding RNA, 525 nt
Organism: Mus musculus (house mouse)
Lineage: Eukaryota; Metazoa; Chordata; Mammalia; Rodentia; Muridae
Product: predicted gene, 54139
Exons: 3
Source: RefSeq, a predicted model, not a curated record